AAAGAACUUCAGUAAAGUAACUUUUUACACUAGCGGCAUAUCAAGUUUUUUUUCUACCACCGUAUACCGUAAUGAAAGACUAAAAUAUGAUUUGACAGUAUGCACAAAACUCAUCCUUUCUCUCCGUUAGAGAUUUCGAUCACUCUUUGUGGAUAACCAAUUACGACUGGGAACUUAAGACAUAUUAUCAGAUAAAAGGUUUUUGUUGUGUCUCUUCUUUUUUAUGCUCCACAUAGAGGCAUUAUGUUUUCAUUGCGUCUGUCCGUUCGUUUGUCCAUCCGUUAGUUCGUCCAUUCGUUCAUUCGUUUGUCCACCUGUCACGCUUCGGGUUAAACUUUUAGUCAGGAUAGUCUUCGAUGAAGAUGAGGUUCAAUCAACUUGAAAAGUAGUGCACAUAAUCCCUAUGAUAUCAUAUUUUUUAUUUUGAUGCCAAAUUAGAGUUUUAAUCAAUUUCACGGUCCAUAGAAAAUAGAAAAUGAUAGUGCGAGUGGGACAUGCGUGUACUAUGGACACAUUCUUAUUUGUCAAAUUAUUGUUAGGUAUGAAUUUCGAAAAAUUAAAAAAUGUACAUAUUCAGAAAUUUGUAGUGGCUUUAAUUGCGACAGCCCAGAUUAAGAAUUAAAAAAGACUAGAUGAGUAUUAAAGAAAUUAUUUAUUUAAUAAAACGAUUGAAAGAUAAUAUGGCUGGCAAAAUGUCAUAUCUGCAGUUGUAUUUUUGUGACCAUCUGAAAGCGGUUCGGUUAGUGAAGUAUGACUUUUCUUUAGAUAACCUGCAAAUAAAAUCUUCAAUUCACCCUUUUCUAUUAAAUUCAAGCUUAAAGC
Molecule: long non-coding RNA, 822 nt
Filed under: Mytilus galloprovincialis (Mediterranean mussel)
Lineage: Eukaryota; Metazoa; Mollusca; Bivalvia; Mytilida; Mytilidae
Source: RNAcentral